UUUUAGGUCCCUUCCAACCCAGGCCAUUCCAUGAUUUCUCCCUUUAGAAAGGCAACCCCAUUUGCCUGAACCGGUAGGUUUAAUACAUGGAGGACAUUCAGACAUUUAAUAUUCAAAUUAAUUGCCAGAAGCAGCUCCUCUCUAAAAGCCUAGCAAGGUAAAGUGUUGUUUUCCCCUCUCCACAGGAGCAGGAGUGGAAUAUGAAAGGAUCUGGCAGCCAGCCAGCCGUUCUGCUGGAGCCAGGCUUUCCACUCCACGUCUCCCUACCCCGUAUCAUUUGCUUGCAGCAAGACAAAUGCCUGUGAGGAUGCCAAAGAAAGGAGAGCAGAGGAGGAAAACACAGUCUGGCACCUUCUCUUCCUGCCCUGGCUCUCCUAGGAGGUGGAGCUUGGUGAUUCCCUGAGCAGGUGCUGUCCCUUGGAUGAGAGUCACUGCCCAGAUGUAGGGAGUGUUCCUGGGAACCAGCAACUUCAAGGGUCACCAGGAGGGAGAAAAAAGCACCUGCAGAGAGCAAUCCUCAGCCUGAAGUGGUGUCCCAGUUGUGUUUCAGGCCCGUAACAGUUUCAAGCUUCAGAUCAAACACUGUGGAGGAGCUACGAGGUGGAGGGAGAACCAUGAUCCAUGUUCAUGGUCCUGUGCCAUGAUCUGAGCCCAGCACUGAUUCCAGGAACAUCUGAGCACUAAAUAUAACAGCCUUGCUCACUCAGCAGCUUCGGGUCCAGCAGAUACCACCCUGCUUCAGGACAAGGGCCGAAGGUCACCCCCUGCCCUGCAGAAACCAGAGGCACAGCUGUGAGAAGCACAUCUCCAAUCCAACAGCAUCACCAUUCCCAAGGCCUCCUGGAGCCAAGGGUGUCCAGCAGCAGGGGGGUAUCAGCAGGAUGCUCUGGGCAGGUUUCUGGCCACUCUGCUCCUUUGGAUGCCCGGCUGGAUGUGUGGAUGUAGGUGCCUGGUCCCUGCUGGUGUCACCUCUGCCUGGGAGCCUGAGCUUGGAUUUCACCACCGUGCAGUGCACCAGCCAGCCCCAGUUUCUAACUUCCUUGUAGGAUGCAUUUCACAACCCCUGUGUUGGUUUGUGUCUCAGCUGUUGCUGUAGGAUACCACAGCUUCUGCCUGUGAGCCUUUGCUUGUUUUUCUCAUCUUUCUAUGGCCUUACAGACGUAAAAAACUGUAGGAGCACACAAGUUCAGGGUUUCUAAAGGAAACUGUGGUCUGAGACAUGCAAAGAAAUGUCAGUGGUAGAGAGUUACACUCGUGGUUAGUGACUGUUUAUUUGUUUUGCUAAGUAGAAGCAGGUGUUACAGAGUCAGGAUAUUCGGGGUUGUGUUGCUCAGAGGGCUGGGGGUUGAAAACCUUCUCGCCAGUGUUAAUCAUACUGUUUUUAGACACAAGAAGCAGAACACAGGGGACAGAGAAGAACGAUUUUGCUUUGGUCUUUCAACAUUAAAAUCCUUCAAGUUUC
Molecule: long non-coding RNA, 1462 nt
Organism: Pseudopipra pipra
Lineage: Eukaryota; Metazoa; Chordata; Aves; Passeriformes; Pipridae
Exons: 3
Source: RefSeq, a predicted model, not a curated record